This 427-nucleotide ribosomal RNA is filed under the name uncultured bacterium. RNAcentral's name for it is "partial 16S ribosomal RNA". It matches the Rfam family "Bacterial small subunit ribosomal RNA", at positions 355 to 774 of the family's 1533-position model. The record is from RNAcentral.
UGGGGAAUAUUGCACAAUGGGCGCAAGCCUGAUGCAGCCAUGCCGCGUGUGUGAAGAAGGCCUUCGGGUUGUAAAGCACUUUCAGCGAGGAGGAAGGCAUAAAGGUUAAUAACCUUUGUGAUUGACGUUACUCGCAGAAGAAGCACCGGCUAACUCCGUGCCAGCAGCCGCGGUAAUACGGAGGGUGCAAGCGUUAAUCGGAAUUACUGGGCGUAAAGCGCACGCAGGCGGUUUGUUAAGUCAGAUGUGAAAUCCCCGCGCUUAACGUGGGAACUGCAUUUGAAACUGGCAAGCUAGAGUCUUGUAGAGGGGGGUAGAAUUCCAGGUGUAGCGGUGAAAUGCGUAGAGACCUGGAGGAAUACCGGUGGCGAAGGCGGCCCCCUGGACAAAGACUGACGCUCAGGUGCGAAAGCGUGGGGAGCAAACA